GCAGUGGUAGUUCAGUAGAGAAUUUUCACCUUCCACGUGGGAGACCUGAAUUUGAUUCCCAGCCUAUGUA
This 70-nucleotide transfer RNA is filed under the name Loxodonta africana (African savanna elephant). It matches the Rfam family "tRNA". From Rfam's summary of the family: Transfer RNA (tRNA) molecules are approximately 80 nucleotides in length. Their secondary structure includes four short double-helical elements and three loops (D, anti-codon, and T loops). The record is from Rfam by way of RNAcentral. Lineage: Eukaryota; Metazoa; Chordata; Mammalia; Proboscidea; Elephantidae.